RNAcentral lists this long non-coding RNA (5246 nucleotides) under Sus scrofa (pig). RNAcentral describes it as "lncRNA (ENSSSCG00000062694.1)". The record is from RNAcentral. Lineage: Eukaryota; Metazoa; Chordata; Mammalia; Artiodactyla; Suidae.
ACAGGUCUCGCGGUCGUGUUUUCACUGUAAAACCUCUCCUCCUGGGUCUGAGCCUGUGUUUGGUCUUCCAGGGGCGCGGCGGGAAUGUGCUUUGGUUGCAGACCUGAAGCCGGGGCAGGUGUGUGCGUGUCACCUGUGUGAACGGCGUGGGGCAGGGGCAUCUGGGGGCCCCACCAUCCAGCUGCCAAGUGGAGGGGGUACCGCAGAUACUCGGUCCGGGCGUGUGUUCGUCUGUCGUGUUAGGUGCUCGCCCAUAUUUGAAAUCCCCAUAGACUCAGGGUUUCUGCUGUUACUCAGGUUGGGAGCAGUGCACAAACCCAGUUGUCCGGGCUACACAUAGAGGGUUAAGGGGUCGCCGAAACCAGCUUUCCCAGAGGAACCUGGUAGAAGACGGAGCUAAUUUGCAAGGAGGCUGGAAACAAUCCCAGUGUCCUCGUGACAGGCCCUGCCCUGAGCUGAUGCGCGCCUGCUCCUCCCUGGACUCUGAGCCUCUGGGGGCCGUGGGGAGCUCCAGGAACACCUGUCAGCUGCACACAGCAGGUGUGGUGAAAGGGGUUCUGUCGAAUGACCGUCUGGAAAAGCCCCCUCUCGUGAGGUCUGCCAGACUCACAGCUCCUCUAAGUCGCAGGCCACGCCGUCUGCAAAAUGCCUCCCCAGACGGAGGUGUGUACUUCCCACCAGCAUCAAUAGCAAAUCACGUGUACGCUUCAAGCGCUAGGGUCCAGUUUUGCGUCAAACGGCCGGAGGAGAUCUUGGGCUUGGUCUUAGUUUUUGGCCUCCUGUCAUCUCUGCCGAUCUGGAGCCGGGAGGAGUUGUAAGACUUCUUGACCAAAAUGGGGAAGCACGUUACUCAGAACCGAAACUCCUGCUUAGGACCCUCGGAAGCGCCCCGGCCGCAGCGUGAUGACCCCGGUACGCCAGGUUGGUCGGCAGCUGCUCAGGGUGGCCCUCAGCGGCAGACUGAGCCAGGUGCUGGCCAUCACGCCCUCAAGUAGUGACAGUCAGGCACAGGGGGCAUGCCCUCCUUGGGACAGGAGCAGAACUGGCCGCACAUCUUACAGGGUUCCUUUUUGCCACGGCGCCACACCGAGGAGGCUCAUCUUCUCUCCUGAGGAGGCAGAGGGCUGGAGGGAGCCGCGGGGAGCUCUGCAAGCCGCGGGCUCUGUGCCAGCCUCAGUCCACGCAAACCUCCGACCCGCCUCCCACCCACAGGAAGGCAGCCUGCAGCGGUCAGGUGGUUCCGAGGGCGAACUGUCAUCCCUCUCUGUCCAGUGACCUCCGUUUGAAAUUCCAGCUCCUGGCUGAGCCUCCUCUCCGCGGAAGGAAGCGGCAGUGACAUCCACGCGAGCGGGACGAAUGAGCUCCCAUUUCUGCUCCUUCCCGGGCUGUCAGCCGCAAGGCAUGGAUCUGGUCCUGCGCGCUCCUCACGGCCCCGCCCUGACUCCGGGGGGCGCUGGGGAGCCGCGGGGCUGGGUCUCUGCCAGCGCUGUCCUGGGUCCCUGGGACCCUGGGCUCGACUUCUGAGCCUCUCCUGCCAUCGCGGGUCCAGGCGUCACUCCCACAGGCAGCAGGGGCGCUGCGAGGGCUCCGCGGGAGGACAGGGCCAUAUGUUCCAGAAAAGCCUCUCCAGACAGGCUGAGUCUGGACCUGGGGAGAUCAGAUGGUGCGUAAGGGGAUUUGGCUUUGGCCGGUUUUUCAUGUUUAUUUUCCUCCACGAGGCUCCAAAUAAAGACAUUAAAGCUUGGCGUCUGCUGAUCCUCCUUCCACGAGACGCUUAAAUUUUAAUGAGGAGGCAGGGAGAUUUUUGAUUUUUUCUUUUAAAAGAAUUGAUGCACUUUAAAAGCCUUUUGUUAUGAAACAAGUUAAACAUGCUCAAAAGUGGAAAGAUUAAAUCAUAGACACUAAAUCAGUGGCCGUCACACACGGCCUCAGCCUCAGCGGCUACUCGCAUGGUGGCCACGAGUCACCCACCACUGGAGGGCGGAUAUCGUGGAAGGAUGUGUCCAUUCUUCCCCGGUGGAAGCUGGGUUUCCCUCUUCUGAAAGUUCCCGGUGUGGCUCGGUGGGUUAAGAACCCGAAAUAGUGUCCAUAAGGAGGCGGGUUCGAUCCCUGGCCUCUCUCUUAAGGAUCUGGUGUUGCUGCAAGCGCAGUGUAGGUCACAGAUGGGGGUCAGACUCAGUGGCUGUGGCUGUGGCAGGGACCUGCAGCUGCAGCUCCAGUUUGACUCCUGGUCCGGGAACUUCCAUAUGCCACGGGUGUGGCUGUAAAAGAAAAACAAACAAAUAAAUAAAGCGCCUACGUGUUAAAGAUGAAAACAGACUCACUGUCCAUCCCUUGCACCAAUAUUAUGUUAGAUUCGUUGUCGGAGCUUUCGGUCAGGUCUGAAAUCUGGGACCGCAAUGUCUCCAGCGUCUUCCUUCUUCUGGAGUGUCUGAUAUUCUCUGCCCUUCGCCUUUCUGGCAUAGAAUGCAUUCGUCGGUUUGCACACCCGCAGAAAUCCCUGUGAGGGUGCUGAUGGGGGGCCCCGUGUGCCUUUCGCUCAUCAUGUAGCACCCACCUGGUAGUGCAUCGGCCUCGUCUCUUUGAGUCUGAGUGACAGUCCACGCUAGUCCGAACCACCAUUUGUUUAUCAGUUGAUGGAUGUUUGGGCUGUUUCCCCUUGGGGGCUGUUGUGCUGAGCUGCUGUGAACACGAGGGCACACGCUUUUGCACAGACCCUCUCGUUUCUCUUGGGUAAAAACCUGGGUGGCCUCCGUGCUGAGCGUUUUGAGGACCUGCCAGGCUGGCUUCCCAGGGGUCUCCCCUUCACGCGUUUGCACCAGCCAUGAAUCAGGUUGUGACACGCAUCUCUGUGCUCCCACAGCCGUCGUUACCUUCUCUUUUCUGCUUGGAGCCGUCCUAGCGGGUAAAGCGUGUGUCCGCGGUUUCCAUUCGCGCCUUUCAGUGACUGGGAUGCCCAGCAUUUGGCCCGUGCUCGCCGGCCGUGUGUAUCUCCUUUGGAGAAAUGCCAGGUUGUUUGACUCCAUUUGGGGACGAGUCCUUUAUAGGUUCUGAACACUAGAGCCUUGUCGUCUAUACCAGUUGCAAAUGUGGUUUCACAUCCUGGGGGUGGACUUUUCACUUUCUGUUUUUCUUUUUUCUUCAGGGCUGCACCUGCAGCAUGUGGAAGUUCCCAGGCUAGGGAUCGAAUGGAGCUACAGCUGCCGGCCUGCACCACAGCCACAGCAACGCCAGAAACCAAGCCAUGUCUGCCACCUACACCACAGCUCACGGCAACGCCGUCAGAUCCUUAACCCCCUGAGCGGGGCCAGGAUUGCACCCUGAAACCUCAGGGUUCCUAGUCGGAUCCGCUUCCGCUGCGCCACGGCGGGAACUCCGUCUUUUCACUUUCUGACAGUGUCCUUUGGUGCCCCAGAGUUUUUAAUUUUGGUGAAGUUGAAAUUAUCAGUUUUUUCUUUUCUUGCCUGCGGUGUCAUAUUUAAGAAGUUGCUGCUUAAUCCAGCUUUAACGAGGAUUUAACCUGUGUGAUGUCUGGAUUUUUAUCCCUCGUGUGGCAGUGCCUGUCUGCUCCUUUUUCACUCUCAGUCUCGCUAGGAAUUUUUCAAUUUUAUCGGUCUUUCCAAUGAACUUUCAAGUUUUCGAUUCUAUUACUUUUUGUCUGUUUUUAUUAUACUUUCUUUUCUGCUACUUUUGGUAUGAUUGGUAUUUUUUCAAUUUUUUAAGUUUUUAAUUUUUAUUUUUUUGGCUGAGCCCAUGGUAUGUGAAAGUUCCUGGGCCAGGGAUCAAACCUGCACCACAGCAGAGACCUACACCACAGCUGUGGCAACACUGGAUCUUUUUAACCCACCGUGCUGGGCCAGGAUCGAACCCACACUGCCACAGAGACAACGCCAGAUCCUUAACCCAAUGCACUAUGGCGGGAACUCCAACAAUACUCUUUUCUAAAGUAUGUUUUAUACCUAUAAAUGUUCCUCUAGGCACUUUGUCAUCUGUACAUCAAAAGAUUUGGUAGGUUGUAUCUUCAUUACCAUUUGGUUAAAGUGUAUUUUCAUUUUCUUUGUGACUUUUUUCUUCUUGAGAUUUACUUAGAAAUAAGUUGAUUAAUUUGUAAAAAUCUGGAACAUUUUAAUUAUGCUUUUAUUAAUUUCUUGCUUGAUCUUCCUGUGGUUACAGAAUAUAUUAAAUCAUUUAAAAUGUAUUGAGUUACUUUGUGGCCCAUAAUAUAAACCAUUCUUGUAAAUAUUCUAUAUAAAUUUGAAAAGUUAGGUCCACUUUUUAAAUUGCAUUUUUCACAUUUGUAUAUCGUUACUGAUUUUUUUCUUUGUUCAUUUUAACUUUUAUUAAGAAAAUUGUUUUGGAGUUCGCAUCAUGGCUCAGCUGUUAAUGAAUCUGACUAGCAUUCAUGAGGAUGCAGGUUCUAUUCCUGGCCUUGCUCAGUGGCUUAAGGACCCGGUGUUGCCAUGAGCUGUGGUGUAGGUUGCAGAUGUGGCUUGGAUCUGGCGUUGCUGUGUCUGUGGUGUAGGCCGGAGGCUACAGCUUUGAUUCGACACCCUAGCCUGGGAACUUCCAUAUGCCUUGGGUGUGGCCCUAAAAAGCAAAAAGAAAAGAAAAAGAAAAAAGGAAAUUGUUUAAGAUUUCUCUCUGUGAUUUUUCUUUUUCGUUAGUUUUCAGCUUUUAACUUCUAUGUUUGAAUUUGUUUAUUAGGCACAUAUACAUUUAAGAGUUAAUCUUCCUAUUAAGUUACACUUUUUUUAUUUUAAAAAGCCUCUAUUUCUAAAAAUACCCACUGCCUUAAAGUCUGCUCUAUUUAAGUUGUGCUAUGCCAGAUAUUUUUUGGUUAAUGUUUUCUUUUUUUUUUUUAAUUUUAAAUGAUUUUUAUUUUGUCCGUUAUAGCUGGUUUACAGUGUUCUGUCAAUUUGGUUAAUGUUUUCAAUGUAUAUCUUUUUCAAUUUUUUUUACUUUGAACUUUCUGUAUUUUUACAUUUAAAACAUGUUUUUUGUAAGCAACAUGUGCUUGGAUUUUAAAAGAUGAGUUAGGGAGUUCCCACCGUGGCACAGUGGAAACAAAUCCGAAUAGGAACGAUGAAGUUUCGGGUUCCAUCCCAGGCCACACUCAGUGGGUUAAGGAUCCGGCAUUGCUAUGAGCUGUGGUGUAGGUCGCAGAGGCAACUCGGAUCUGGCGUUGCUGUGGCUGUGGUGCAGCUCUGAUUAGACCCCUAGCCUGGGAACCUCCAUAUGUCGUGGGU